Molecule: long non-coding RNA, 1074 nt
Filed under: Homo sapiens (human)
Lineage: Eukaryota; Metazoa; Chordata; Mammalia; Primates; Hominidae
Description: HSALNT0341593
Source: RNAcentral
GCACUUGAGCUCCACCCGCCGCUUGCGCUCGUGGUCCAGGAUCUCGCGGUGCGCGCGCUUCACCAGGCCCGGCUCCGCGGCGCGCAGCUCCUCUUCCGCCCGCGGCCAGGUCCCCGAGGAGGAGCUGGGCUGCGGGAAGCCGUUCGCGGCGUCGGGUGUGGACUGCAUGCUGGCCGCCCCGUUGUUCACGGUGGAGGACAUCGUGGCUGGCCCUGGAGCCGCUGGCCUGGGCCGCUGGCCCUGAGGGACAGACACAGACACGAGGCGGGAUGGUCACUUCUUCGCCACCUGUUAAGCUCCUCUCUGCUGGAGUUAAUCCUGGAGAUUUAAGGGCACACUCAUGGCUCUAAUCCGCUUCCUUUCCUGGUGCAGAGGGAAGCGGACGGCUGGUUUGCACCUUUGGGUCACACCUCAGGGCACGAGUGGGUUGGACACUGGGCUUUUUCCAUCUGUAAGGUGGGUGGAUGCAGGCCAGACUGGAUGGCCUCUAAGAGCCAUUGGCUGGGAAUCGUGUCACCUCCAGGAACUACCGAGGACCAUCCUCUCUGGCUUGCACGAAUGCUUGGGCCAGACAUCCCAGCGCCCGCUUGCACACAUCAUUAACUCCCCAGUCAUAUUUCUCCUUUAGGCUCAGUUGAAACUGUUUACGCACACACCAGGCCCACUAUCCUGGCUCUGUCCAGUGGCACACAGAUUACAUGUGUUCCUACCUCCCAGUCUGCUCCCAGGGCAGCCCUACAGAGAGGGGAAGAUGGAAGCCUACUCUAUUCCCACCCCAGAGGCAGAUUUUAGCUCUCUGUUUGAUCUGGCCAACUUCUCCAAAGCCAACAUUCCAGAUAAGCGGGGCUCACCCAGAUUGGGCCCACAAGACUAUCCCCUCCUUUGUUCUGGAAACACUGCUUCUGAUGACGUGACCAAAGCUGACACUGACAUUAGCUUUCCAGGCAGCCACGUCCUCCUGUAGGCUCGGGGUGGGGUGGGAGUCAACUUGGCUUGGAGCUAAGAAUCCCUGACUCCAUGCUAGGCCCUCCAAAGUAGAGCAGACACACACACACACACACACACACACACACU